Molecule: ribosomal RNA, 2897 nt
Filed under: Escherichia coli
Lineage: Bacteria; Pseudomonadati; Pseudomonadota; Gammaproteobacteria; Enterobacterales; Enterobacteriaceae
Description: bacterial LSU rRNA
Rfam family: Bacterial large subunit ribosomal RNA
Source: RNAcentral
UUAAGCGACUAAGCGUACACGGUGGAUGCCCUGGCAGUCAGAGGCGAUGAAGGACGUGCUAAUCUGCGAUAAGCGUCGGUAAGGUGAUAUGAACCGUUAUAACCGGCGAUUUCCGAAUGGGGAAACCCAGUGUGUUUCGACACACUAUCAUUAACUGAAUCCAUAGGUUAAUGAGGCGAACCGGGGGAACUGAAACAUCUAAGUACCCCGAGGAAAAGAAAUCAACCGAGAUUCCCCCAGUAGCGGCGAGCGAACGGGGAGCAGCCCAGAGCCUGAAUCAGUGUGUGUGUUAGUGGAAGCGUCUGGAAAGGCGCGCGAUACAGGGUGACAGCCCCGUACACAAAAAUGCACAUAUUGUGAGCUCGAUGAGUAGGGCGGGACACGUGGUAUCCUGUCUGAAUAUGGGGGGACCAUCCUCCAAGGCUAAAUACUCCUGACUGACCGAUAGUGAACCAGUACCGUGAGGGAAAGGCGAAAAGAACCCCGGCGAGGGGAGUGAAAAAGAACCUGAAACCGUGUACGUACAAGCAGUGGGAGCCUCUUUUAUGGGGUGACUGCGUACCUUUUGUAUAAUGGGUCAGCGACUUAUAUUCUGUAGCAAGGUUAACCGAAUAGGGGAGCCGAAGGGAAACCGAGUCUUAACUGGGCGUUAAGUUGCAGGGUAUAGACCCGAAACCCGGUGAUCUAGCCAUGGGCAGGUUGAAGGUUGGGUAACACUAACUGGAGGACCGAACCGACUAAUGUUGAAAAUUAGCGGAUGACUUGUGGCUGGGGGUGAAAGGCCAAUCAAACCGGGAGAUAGCUGGUUCUCCCCGAAAGCUAUUUAGGUAGCGCCUCGUGAAUUCAUCUCCGGGGUAGAGCACUGUUUCGGCAAGGGGGUCAUCCCGACUUACCAACCCGAUGCAAACUGCGAAUACCGGAGAAUGUUAUCACGGGAGACACACGGCGGGUGCUAACGUCCGUCGUGAAGAGGGAAACAACCCAGACCGCCAGCUAAGGUCCCAAAGUCAUGGUUAAGUGGGAAACGAUGUGGGAAGGCCCAGACAGCCAGGAUGUUGGCUUAGAAGCAGCCAUCAUUUAAAGAAAGCGUAAUAGCUCACUGGUCGAGUCGGCCUGCGCGGAAGAUGUAACGGGGCUAAACCAUGCACCGAAGCUGCGGCAGCGACACUGUGUGUUGUUGGGUAGGGGAGCGUUCUGUAAGCCUGUGAAGGUAUGCUGUGAGGCAUGCUGGAGGUAUCAGAAGUGCGAAUGCUGACAUAAGUAACGAUAAAGCGGGUGAAAAGCCCGCUCGCCGGAAGACCAAGGGUUCCUGUCCAACGUUAAUCGGGGCAGGGUGAGUCGACCCCUAAGGCGAGGCCGAAAGGCGUAGUCGAUGGGAAACAGGUUAAUAUUCCUGUACUUGGUGUUACUGCGAAGGGGGGACGGAGAAGGCUAUGUUGGCCGGGCGACGGUUGUCCCGGUUUAAGCGUGUAGGCUGGUUUUCCAGGCAAAUCCGGAAAAUCAAGGCUGAGGCGUGAUGACGAGGCACUACGGUGCUGAAGCAACAAAUGCCCUGCUUCCAGGAAAAGCCUCUAAGCAUCAGGUAACAUCAAAUCGUACCCCAAACCGACACAGGUGGUCAGGUAGAGAAUACCAAGGCGCUUGAGAGAAUCGGGUGAAGGAACUAGGCAAAAUGGUGCCGUAACUUCGGGAGAAGGCACGCUGAUAUGUAGGUGAAGUCCCUCGCGGAUGGAGCUGAAAUCAGUCGAAGAUACCAGCUGGCUGCAACUGUUUAUUAAAAACACAGCACUGUGCAAACACGAAAGUGGACGUAUACGGUGUGACGCCUGCCCGGUGCCGGAAGGUUAAUUGAUGGGGUCAGCGCAAGCGAAGCUCUUGAUCGAAGCCCGGUAAACGGCGGCCGUAACUAUAACGGUCCUAAGGUAGCGAAAUUCCUUGUCGGGUAAGUUCCGACCUGCACGAAUGGCGUAAUGAUGGCCAGGCUGUCUCCACCCGAGACUCAGUGAAAUUGAACUCGCUGUGAAGAUGCAGUGUACCCGCGGCAAGACGGAAAGACCCCGUGAACCUUUACUAUAGCUUGACACUGAACAUUGAGCCUUGAUGUGUAGGAUAGGUGGGAGGCUUAGAAGUGUGGACGCCAGUCUGCAUGGAGCCGACCUUGAAAUACCACCCUUUAAUGUUUGAUGUUCUAACGUUGACCCGUAAUCCGGGUUGCGGACAGUGUCUGGUGGGUAGUUUGACUGGGGCGGUCUCCUCCUAAAGAGUAACGGAGGAGCACGAAGGUUGGCUAAUCCUGGUCGGACAUCAGGAGGUUAGUGCAAUGGCAUAAGCCAGCUUGACUGCGAGCGUGACGGCGCGAGCAGGUGCGAAAGCAGGUCAUAGUGAUCCGGUGGUUCUGAAUGGAAGGGCCAUCGCUCAACGGAUAAAAGGUACUCCGGGGAUAACAGGCUGAUACCGCCCAAGAGUUCAUAUCGACGGCGGUGUUUGGCACCUCGAUGUCGGCUCAUCACAUCCUGGGGCUGAAGUAGGUCCCAAGGGUAUGGCUGUUCGCCAUUUAAAGUGGUACGCGAGCUGGGUUUAGAACGUCGUGAGACAGUUCGGUCCCUAUCUGCCGUGGGCGCUGGAGAACUGAGGGGGGCUGCUCCUAGUACGAGAGGACCGGAGUGGACGCAUCACUGGUGUUCGGGUUGUCAUGCCAAUGGCACUGCCCGGUAGCUAAAUGCGGAAGAGAUAAGUGCUGAAAGCAUCUAAGCACGAAACUUGCCCCGAGAUGAGUUCUCCCUGACCCUUUAAGGGUCCUGAAGGAACGUUGAAGACGACGACGUUGAUAGGCCGGGUGUGUAAGCGCAGCGAUGCGUUGAGCUAACCGGUACUAAUGAACCGUGAGGCUUAACCUU